RNAcentral lists this unclassified non-coding RNA (331 nucleotides) under soil metagenome. RNAcentral describes it as "partial contains 5.8S ribosomal RNA, internal transcribed spacer 2, and large subunit ribosomal RNA". The stretch from base 1 to 119 matches the Rfam family "5.8S ribosomal RNA", at positions 36 to 154 of the family's 154-position model. The record is from RNAcentral.
AUGAAGAACGUAGCGAAAUGCGAUAAGUAGUGUGAAUUGCAGAAUUCAGUGAAUCAUCGAAUCUUUGAACGCACAUUGCGCCCUUUGGUAUUCCUUAGGGCAUGCCUGUUCGAGCGUCAUUUAAACCUUCAAGCUAAGCUUGGUGUUGGGUGACUGUCCGCUUCACGGCGGACUCGCCUCAAAAUUAUUGGCGGCCGGUACAUUGGCUUCGAGCGCAGCAGAAACGCGAACUCGGGCCCGUCGUAUUGGCUCCCAGAAGCUAUCUUCACAAUUUUGACCUCGGAUCAGGUAGGGAUACCCGCUGAACUUAAGCAUAUCAAUAAGCGGAGGA